UACGAGUGGUGCAAGCGUUAUUCGGAAUCAUUGGGCGUAAAGGGUGUGUAGACGGCAUAUUAAGUCAAUUGUUUAAUUCUCCGGCCUAACCGGAGUCCAGCGGUAGAUACUGGUAUGCUAGAGGGUGGAAGAGAGAAGUGGAAUUCUCGGAGUAGCGGUAAAAUGCGUAGAUCUCGAGAGGAACACCAAUGGCGAAGGCAGCUUCUUGGUCCACACCUGACGUUGAGACACGAAAGCGUGGGGAGCAAACAGG
This 253-nucleotide ribosomal RNA is filed under the name uncultured bacterium. RNAcentral describes it as "partial 16S ribosomal RNA". It matches the Rfam family "Bacterial small subunit ribosomal RNA", at positions 524 to 776 of the family's 1533-position model. The record is from RNAcentral.